AGGCUUUAUUUGUAUGAAAAAUAUGAAACUGUAACUAGUAUGCCUGUGGAGUUGACUCGAUUCUCAAUUGGAUCAACUUGAGUGCUUGGAGAGUUGACUCAAUUUUGUUGGAGUCAACUCGAGACUCUGGUAGGUCGGCUCAUUUGCUGAUGAACCGACUCAAUUGUGUAGGUUAGGUCUAUAAAUUUUUAUUUAUCUCAGUG
This 203-nucleotide long non-coding RNA is filed under the name Elaeis guineensis (African oil palm). RNAcentral describes it as "long non-coding RNA (EGUI_LNC043582)". The record is from RNAcentral. Lineage: Eukaryota; Viridiplantae; Streptophyta; Magnoliopsida; Arecales; Arecaceae.